Molecule: non-coding RNA, 519 nt
Organism: Camellia sinensis
Lineage: Eukaryota; Viridiplantae; Streptophyta; Magnoliopsida; Ericales; Theaceae
Source: RefSeq, a predicted model, not a curated record
GUACCCUUUUUGCAAGGUUGUUUUGUGUUUCCCACACUAUCUGCACUACUUGCGUUAUUUACUUUUUCACUAGUGGUUAAUUUCCAUUGAAUUGAUUUGUUUGUCUGUGAUUUCUGGAUUUUUUGAAAAGCUUAAAUUUUGGAUUUAUUUCAGAAAAAGACAUUCCAACUAAUUUUCUGGAUGAAGUUGCAAAGCAAGCCUCAAGCUCUGGAGCACAGGAGAUUGAAGGAUGUUACAAGUGAUUGGCUUUUCCCACUUUUUGCGGUUAUAUCAACCAUUUGCUUGGUGGAUUUAGACAACUGUGACAUGUUGCUCCCUUUUUUUCAUGGUUGUUGGUGCAAAGGACGCGUACCAUCGCAGUGAACUAUUGGUAUGAUAUGCAGUUCGAUGUAAAAUAUGCUUACUUCAACUUCUUACAAUCAAUUCCUCACCCAUCAUCCCAUGGUCUGACACCACAUGAAAUGGGAUUUGUUGGAUCAUCCUCAGAUACAUCUAUUUGCUAUUUAGGAGAUGAACCAG